Molecule: non-coding RNA, 131 nt
Organism: Xylaria digitata
Lineage: Eukaryota; Fungi; Ascomycota; Sordariomycetes; Xylariales; Xylariaceae
Source: the annotation of a GenBank genome assembly
GCCCGGUUAGCUCAAUCGGUAGAGCGUGAGACUCUUAAUCUCAAGGUUGCGGGUGAGUAGCAUGUUCGAAAAUACGAGUGUAGCUUCAAAAUACUAACAAUCUUGAAUAGGUUCGACCCCCGCAUCGGGCU